This 86-nucleotide transfer RNA is filed under the name Candidatus Saccharimonadota bacterium. RNAcentral's name for it is "tRNA-Leu". It matches the Rfam family "tRNA". Rfam says of the family: Transfer RNA (tRNA) molecules are approximately 80 nucleotides in length. Their secondary structure includes four short double-helical elements and three loops (D, anti-codon, and T loops). Lineage: Bacteria; Candidatus Saccharimonadota. The record is from RNAcentral.
GCGCGGGUGCUGAAAUAGGUAGACAGUCGACACUUAAAAUGUCGUGGCCAAAAGCCGUGCGGGUUCGAUUCCCGCCCCGCGCACCA